GCAGCCGCGGUAAUACGUAGGGGGCGAGCGUUAUCCGGAAUUAUUGGGCGUAAAGAGUACGUAGGUGGUUUUGUAAGCGCGGGGUGAAAGGCAGUGGCUCAACCAUUGUUAGCCUUGCGAACUGCAAGACUUGAGUGCAGGAGGGGAAAGUGGAAUUCCUAGUGUAGCGGUGAAAUGCUUAGAUAUUAGGAGGAACACCAGUGGCGAAGGCGACUUUCUGGACUGUAACUGACACUGAGGUACGAAAGCGUGGGGAGCAAACAGGAUUAGAUACCCC
Molecule: ribosomal RNA, 277 nt
Filed under: uncultured Anaerovorax sp.
Lineage: Bacteria; Bacillati; Bacillota; Clostridia; Peptostreptococcales; Anaerovoracaceae
Description: partial 16S ribosomal RNA
Rfam family: Bacterial small subunit ribosomal RNA
Source: RNAcentral